RNAcentral lists this ribosomal RNA (468 nucleotides) under uncultured bacterium. RNAcentral's name for it is "partial 16S ribosomal RNA". It matches the Rfam family "Bacterial small subunit ribosomal RNA", at positions 28 to 507 of the family's 1533-position model. The record is from RNAcentral.
GACGAACGCUGGCGGCGUGCUUAACACAUGCCAGUCGAACGGAAAGGCCCUGCUUUUGUGGGGUGCUCGAGUGGCGAACGGGUGAGUAACACGUGAGUAACCUGCCCUUGACUUUGGGAUAACUUCAGGAAACUGGGGCUAAUACCGGAUAGGAGCUCCUGCUGCAUGGUGGGGGUUGGAAGGUUUCGGCGGUUGGGGAUGGACUCGCGGCUUAUCAGCUUGUUGGUGGGGUAGUGGCUUACCAAGGCUUUGACGGGUAGCCGGCCUGAGAGGGUGACCGGCCACAUUGGGACUGAGAUACGGCCCAGACUCCUACGGGAGGCAGCAGUGGGGAAUAUUGCACAAUGGGCGGAAGCCUGAUGCAGCAACGCCGCGUGCGGGAUGACGGCCUUCGGGUUGUAAACCGCUUUCGCCUGUGACGAAGCGUGAGUGACGGUAAUGGGUAAAGAAGCACCGGCUAACUACGUG